Molecule: long non-coding RNA, 302 nt
Filed under: Linum usitatissimum (flax)
Lineage: Eukaryota; Viridiplantae; Streptophyta; Magnoliopsida; Malpighiales; Linaceae
Description: long non-coding RNA (LUSI_LNC005917)
Source: RNAcentral
AAGAAAGCACUCGCAACAACUAGCGUUCCCAUCAUCAAUGGGGUAGUUCUUGACCACAUCAUACCUAUGUCAGUACACAAAUUCACAUUUUACAUAUAGAUCCAUGUGUACUUAGUCACCAAAAACAUGAUGCUAAGAGAUAAUUCAUUACAAAUCAAACCUGCAAAUGCAUGAACAAUGUUGAUGACUUCUCUUGUGAUAAGGGAUCAUUAGCAUGUUUUGUUGAAUCAAUUCCUCCAUCAUAAAAGGGCCUCUCCUCAAACAUGUUUAGGAACCUAAAUAGUCAAGUCAGAUUUUAUUUC